AGCUUUGUGCAGUGGCAGUAUCAUAGCUAAUGAGGUUUAUCCAAGGUGUGGUUGUUGCUAAUAAAAUGCACUUUGGUCAUCUCCGCC
RNAcentral lists this small nuclear RNA (87 nucleotides) under Chinchilla lanigera (long-tailed chinchilla). RNAcentral describes it as "U4 spliceosomal RNA (ENSCLAG00000020805.1)". The stretch from base 1 to 67 matches the Rfam family "U4 spliceosomal RNA". Rfam says of the family: U4 small nuclear RNA (U4 snRNA) is a component of the major U2-dependent spliceosome. The structure of U4 snRNA from yeast and human has been reported. U4 snRNA presents a k-turn RNA motif in the 5p-SL related to recognition of Snu13 protein. Lineage: Eukaryota; Metazoa; Chordata; Mammalia; Rodentia; Chinchillidae. The record is from RNAcentral.